GAUGAACGCUGGCGGCGUGCCUAAUACAUGCAAGUCGAGCGAACGGACGAGAAGCUUGCUUUUCUGAUGUUAGCGGCGGACGGGUGAGUAACACGUGGAUAACCUACCUAUAAGACUGGGAUAACUUCGGGAAACCGGAGCUAAUACCGGAUAAUAUUUUGAACCGCAUGGUUCAAAAGUGAAAGACGGUCUUGCUGUCACUUAUAGAUGGAUCCGCGCUGCAUUAGCUAGUUGGUAAGGUAACGGCUUACCAAGGCAACGAUGCAUAGCCGACCUGAGAGGGUGAUCGGCCACACUGGAACUGAGACACGGUCCAGACUCCUACGGGAGGCAGCAGUAGGGAAUCUUCCGCAAUGGGCGAAAGCCUGACGGAGCAACGCCGCGUGAGUGAUGAAGGUCUUCGGAUCGUAAAACUCUGUUAUUAGGGAAGAACAUAUGUGUAAGUAACUGUGCACAUCUUGACGGUACCUAAUCAGAAAGCCACGGCUAACUACGUGCCAGCAGCCGCGGUAAUACGUAGGUGGCAAGCGUUAUCCGGAAUUAUUGGGCGUAAAGCGCGCGUAGGCGGUUUUUUAAGUCUGAUGUGAAAGCCCACGGCUCAACCGUGGAGGGUCAUUGGAAACUGGAAAACUUGAGUGCAGAAGAGGAAAGUGGAAUUCCAUGUGUAGCGGUGAAAUGCGCAGAGAUGUGGAGGAACACCAGUGGCGAAGGCGACUUUCUGGUCUGUAACUGACGCUGAUGUGCGAAAGCGUGGGGAUCAAACAGGAUUAGAUACCCUGGUAGUCCACGCCGUAAACGAUGAGUGCUAAGUGUUAGGGGGUUUCCGCCCCUUAGUGCUGCAGCUAACGCAUUAAGCACUCCGCCUGGGGAGUACGACCGCAAGGUUGAAACCCAAAGGAAUUGACGGGGGCCCGCACAAGCGGUGGAGCAUGUGGUUUAAUUCGAAGCAACGCGAAGAACCUUACCAAAUCUUGACAUCCUUUGACAACUCUAGAGAUAGAGCCUUCCCCUUCGGGGGACAAAGUGACAGGUGGUGCAUGGUUGUCGUCAGCUCGUGUCGUGAGAUGUUGGGUUAAGUCCCGCAACGAGCGCAACCCUUAAGCUUAGUUGCCAUCAUUAAGUUGGGCACUCUAAGUUGACCGCCGGUGACAAACCGGAGGAAGGUGGGGAUGACGUCAAAUCAUCAUGCCCCUUAUGAUUUGGGCUACACACGUGCUACAAUGGACAAUACAAAGGGCAGCGAAACCGCGAGGUCAAGCAAAUCCCAUAAAGUUGUUCUCAGUUCGGAUUGUAGUCUGCAACUCGACUACAUGAAGCUGGAAUCGCUAGUAAUCGUAGAUCAGCAUGCUACGGUGAAUACGUUCCCGGGUCU
This 1372-nucleotide ribosomal RNA is filed under the name uncultured bacterium. Its description in RNAcentral is "bacterial SSU rRNA". It matches the Rfam family "Bacterial small subunit ribosomal RNA", at positions 28 to 1381 of the family's 1533-position model. The record is from RNAcentral.